AUUUUUUAGACCAACUCCAGCGGUAGUUUUUUAGUAGAAACUCAUACAAUUAAAAAAAAU
RNAcentral lists this small RNA (60 nucleotides) under Arabidopsis thaliana (thale cress). Its description in RNAcentral is "ATSL214710". Lineage: Eukaryota; Viridiplantae; Streptophyta; Magnoliopsida; Brassicales; Brassicaceae. The record is from RNAcentral.